UUAAAAGACAGUAGUUAAAYUCUACUAUUAAGGG
Molecule: transfer RNA, 34 nt
Filed under: Diadema antillarum
Lineage: Eukaryota; Metazoa; Echinodermata; Echinoidea; Diadematoida; Diadematidae
Description: partial tRNA-Lys
Source: RNAcentral